RNAcentral lists this ribosomal RNA (253 nucleotides) under uncultured bacterium. Its description in RNAcentral is "partial 16S ribosomal RNA". It matches the Rfam family "Bacterial small subunit ribosomal RNA", at positions 524 to 776 of the family's 1533-position model. The record is from RNAcentral.
UACGGAGGGAGCUAGCGUUGUUCGGAAUUACUGGGCGUAAAGCGCGCGUAGGCGGUUACUCAAGUCAGAGGUGAAAGCCCGGGGCUCAACCCCGGAACUGCCUUUGAAACUAGGUGACUAGAAUCUUGGAGAGGUCAGUGGAAUUCCGAGUGUAGAGGUGAAAUUCGUAGAUAUUCGCAAGAACACCAGUGGCGAAGGCGGCUCACUGGCCCGGUACUGACGCUGAGGUGCGAAAGCGUGGGGAGCAAACAGG